AUGGACUACUACUUGUCAUGGAGAUGUCUAUUGCUGGUCCUCUGCACUCUGAACUCCAUGUUUCUGAGUUGUUCGGGCUGCUUCUUGGAGCAGAGAGCGUCCCUCAUGGAUAUUAGCUCUCGCCUCAUAAUCUUUGGGCAUGACUAUGAGAAUCAGAUGCACAGUUCUUGGGGAGUCGGUGAUGACUGCUGUUCGUGGAAAGGGAUCACAUGCGACAAUAGCACAGGGCUAAUAUCGCAUCUCGACCUUUCCCCAAUCGACCAAGAUAUGGACCAUAUGGAAGAAAUGGAAGGUGAAUGCAUCUGGCACCUUAGCUUGACGAUCUUUUCUUUAUUUCCAGAGCUUCAGCUACUAAAUAUCUCAGGACUGUUCGCUUGUUUACAUAAUUUUGAGGGUCUCCAAGGAUUGAGUAAGCUCAAGUAUCUCGACCUCAGUUUCAACAGUUUACUAGGGGGCAUCCCAGGAUCUGUUGGUAAGCUGGUUUCUCUAGAAGUCAUAAAUCUCAAUGGAAACGUCAUGGGUGGGACUCUUCAUAGUACAGGUCUCAGAAAUCUCCAUAACCUGCGUGAAUUGCAUUUGGGAUCCAAUGAAUUGAGUGGUAGCCUCCCAGCAUCCUUAUUUGCACUUCCACGCCUUGAGUACUUGGAUCUUUCAGACAACCUCUUGCAUGGACAUAUACCUAUAAAUUCAUCUUGGAACCUGCGAGAAUUGCGUCUGAGAUCCAAUAAAUUGAGUGGUAGCAUCCCAGCAUCAGUGUUUGCACUUCCAUGCCUGGAGUACUUGGAUCUUUCAGACAACCUCUUGCAAGGAUAUGUACCCAUAAACUCAUCUUCAAAGUGUUCCUCAUUGCUUCAAACUAUCAGGUUAUCCAAAAACAAGCUAAGCGGUAAAUUUUCUUUUUUCUGGUUAAGAAACUGUGUGAAGCUCAAACAGAUAGAUCUGUCCCGGAAUACUGAUUUGGUCGUUCAAGUGGAACUGCAUGGUUGGGUACCAAAAUUUCAAUUGAAUACACUAAGGCUCUCUUGGUGUAACCUUGAUAAGAGCAUGAUUACUGAGCCAAAUUUCCUCCGCACACAGCAUCAUCUACGUUUUCUCGAUUUGUCCAACAAUAAUUUGCCGGGAAACAUGCCUGACUGGUUGUUCACAAAUGAAGCCACACUGGUUUACCUGAAUCUUGCAAACAACUCACUAGUUGGAUCGCUAGAUCGGGUAUGGCAACACCAAACUUACCUUAAACAAGUUAACAUAUCUCUGAACCUAGUUGAAGGACAGCUGCCAGCCAACAUCAGUUUGAUGUUUCCUAAUCUUACAAUUCUUGAUGUUUCCCACAAUAUUAUAUCUGGAACGAUACCACCAUCGCUCUGCAACAGCAGCAUACAACUUAUGGACCUAUCAAAUAACAGAUUUACAGGAGAAGUGCCAUCCUGCUUGUUCACUGAUUUUUACGCACUGAAUGUAUUGAAGCUCUCAAACAAUAGUCUCGGGGGUAAGAUACUUGAUGGGGUUAGUAGCUUCUCUGGUCACCUGUGGGCAAUAUACCUCGACAACAACAAAUUUGAAGGAACUCUCCCUAGAAAUCUGUCUGGUGAUAUAGCCCUCAUGGAUUUACAUGGUAACAAGAUGUCAGGAGAACUGAGCACUUCAUUAUGGUUUCUUCCUUCACUGGAAGCUUUGAGCCUUUCUUGUAAUGGUUUAACUGGUGCCAUUCAUCCAGGAAUUUGCACAUUAACAAAACUUCGGAUAUUAGAUCUGUCAGAAAACUACUUUACGGGGCAUAUUCCAAACUGCAGCACUGUAUUACCUCUCGAGUUUCUGAGUGUAUCUGGGAAUUCACUGUCAGGCUUCCCGAGUGCGUUUUUCUUCAGCUCGUCCAUUACAGCUCUGGAUCUCAGCCAUAAUCAGUUCACAGGCAACCUUGAGUGGGCACAAUAUCUUUCUCAAAUCAGUGUACUUUUGUUAAGCAGGAACAAGUUUGUGGGACAGAUCUCUUCAAAUCUGUGUCGUCUCCAACGCUUGAGUAUAAUUGACAUCUCCCACAACAUACUUUCGGGUUCCAUACCACCAUGUAUUGGUGGCAUUGCACUUGAAGACCCUGAUGAUUACGAGUACGGUUGGCCCUCAAUUGGGAUAACUUACUCUACAGGAGAUUAUGCCGUGGGCAUGUACAGCAGUCAUUAUGAACCCCAAGGCUUCACCUUCACGACUAAAGGGAACUCAUACACAUAUGGACAAAACUUCUUCAUGUGGAUGUCUGGCAUUGACUUCUCUUCGAACAUGCUAUCAGGUGAUAUUCCGAAGGAGAUGGGGAAUUUGAGCCAUAUAAAGUCUCUCAAUUUGUCAAACAAUUUCUUGACCGGACUGAUUCCUACAACCUUCGGUAACAUGAGUGAAAUCGAAAGCUUAGACCUUUCAGGAAACAAGCUGGAUGGAACCAUACCAUGGCAGUUAACUCGGUUAUCAUCAUUGGAAGUGUUCUCUGUGGCGUACAACAACUUAUCUGGAUGUCUACCAGCCACUGGUCAGCUCGGCACAUUUGAUGUGGACAGUUACAGAGGGAACGGCAACCUUAGGUCAUGCACUUCCAGUUCAUAUCCCGUUGCACGGAAUGGCACGGGAGGAAAUGCGCGUGGCGAUUCUGAUCCGAUCAUCUACGUGGUCACUGCUGUUUCAUUCGUCUUGGCGUUUUGGGCCACUAUCACAUUCGUAUUCUGCCAUCCAUUUGGGCAGCGUGUUAUUCUGAAACUGUAA
RNAcentral lists this ribosomal RNA (2748 nucleotides) under Triticum aestivum (bread wheat). RNAcentral's name for it is "partial small subunit ribosomal RNA". The record is from RNAcentral. Lineage: Eukaryota; Viridiplantae; Streptophyta; Magnoliopsida; Poales; Poaceae.